This 85-nucleotide microRNA precursor is filed under the name Fukomys damarensis (Damara mole-rat). RNAcentral's name for it is "miRNA (ENSFDAG00000002601.1)". Lineage: Eukaryota; Metazoa; Chordata; Mammalia; Rodentia; Bathyergidae. The record is from RNAcentral.
CUGGGCUUCCCCAGUCCAGGCAGCACCCUCAGGCGAGGACUACAGUGUAGAGAAAGGGGCACUGGAUUUGGAGUCAGAAGGCCUG